GAAGAAGUUGUAGAAGAAGAGGAUUUAGGGAUAGAAGCGUUAUGGUUUUCGCCUUACGUCUUCAACUGCCUUUUAUAGAGGCACAUUUGCAAUGGGUGUCGUGUCGGCAGAAUGUGGGCGGCGUCAAACGGCACGCCUACAAUGAGUACAUACGAUUACAAAAAAAUGGUAUGGUGCGCAAGGUUGGAA
Molecule: non-coding RNA, 189 nt
Organism: Caenorhabditis elegans
Lineage: Eukaryota; Metazoa; Nematoda; Chromadorea; Rhabditida; Rhabditidae
Source: Ensembl